UCAGGAUAGCUCAGUUGGUAGAGCAGAGGACUGAA
RNAcentral lists this transfer RNA (35 nucleotides) under Elymus sibiricus. Its description in RNAcentral is "partial tRNA-Phe". Lineage: Eukaryota; Viridiplantae; Streptophyta; Magnoliopsida; Poales; Poaceae. The record is from RNAcentral.